RNAcentral lists this ribosomal RNA (896 nucleotides) under uncultured bacterium. RNAcentral describes it as "bacterial SSU rRNA". It matches the Rfam family "Bacterial small subunit ribosomal RNA", at positions 106 to 1020 of the family's 1533-position model. The record is from RNAcentral.
GUGAGUAACGCGUGGGCAACCUGCCCCUUGCAGGGGGACAGCCGGGGGAAACCCCGGGUAAUACCCCAUAACGCGGAGGCGCCACAUGGCGCUUCGGCCCAAAGAUUCAUCGGCAAGGGAUGGGCCCGCGUCCGAUUAGCUUGUUGGCAGGGCAGCGGCCUACCAAGGCGACGAUCGGUAGCCGGCCUGAGAGGGCGGACGGCCACAUUGGAACUGAGACACGGUCCAGACUCCUGCGGGAGGCAGCAGUGGGGAAUAUUGCACAAUGGGCGCAAGCCUGAUGCAGCAACGCCGCGUGAGGGAGGAAGGCCUUCGGGUCGUAAACCUCUGUCCCUGGGGAAGAAACAAAUGACGGUACCCAUGGAGGAAGCCCCGGCUAACUACGUGCCAGCAGCCGCGGUAAUACGUAGGGGGCGAGCGUUAUCCGGAAUUACUGGGCGUAAAGAGUGCGUAGGCGGCUCUUUAAGCGCGGGGUCUAAGACCGCGGCUCAACCGCGGGCCGCCCCGCGAACUGGAGGGCUUGAGUGCGGGAGAGGAAGGCGGAAUUCCUAGUGUAGCGGUGAAAUGCGUAGAUAUUAGGAGGAACACCGGUGGCGAAGGCGGCCUUCUGGACCGAGACUGACGCUGAGGCACGAAAGCGUGGGUAGCAAACAGGAUUAGAUACCCUGGUAGUCCACGCCGUAAACGAUGAGCACCAGGUGUCGGGCCCUAAGGGUCCGGUGCCGAAGCCAACGCAAUAAGUGCUCCGCCUGGGGAGUACGCACGCAAGUGUAAAACUCAAAGGAAUUGACGGGGACCCGCACAAGCAGCGGAGCAUGUGGUUUAAUUCGAAGCAACGCGAAGAACCUUACCAGGGCUUGACAUCCCGUCGAACGGCCGGGCAACGCCGCUCUCUC